Molecule: ribosomal RNA, 624 nt
Filed under: uncultured bacterium
Lineage: Bacteria
Description: bacterial SSU rRNA
Rfam family: Bacterial small subunit ribosomal RNA
Source: RNAcentral
UAAAGAAUUUCGGUAUGGGAUGGGGAUGCGUUCCAUUAGUUAGUUGGCGGGGUAACGGCCCACCAAGACAACGAUGGAUAGGGGUUCUGAGAGGAAGGUCCCCCACAUUGGAACUGAGACACGGUCCAAACUCCUACGGGAGGCAGCAGUGAGGAAUAUUGGUCAAUGGACGAGAGUCUGAACCAGCCAAGUAGCGUGAAGGAUGACUGCCCUAUGGGUUGUAAACUUCUUUUAUAUGGGAAUAAAACGUUCCACGUGUGGGAUUUUGUAUGUACCAUAUGAAUAAGGAUCGGCUAACUCCGUGCCAGCAGCCGCGGUAAUACGGAGGAUCCGAGCGUUAUCCGGAUUUAUUGGGUUUAAAGGGAGCGUAGGUGGAUUGUUAAGUCAGUUGUGAAAGUUUGCGGCUCAACCGUAAAAUUGCAGUUGAAACUGGCAGUCUUGAGUACAGUAGAGGUGGGCGGAAUUCGUGGUGUAGCGGUGAAAUGCUUAGAUAUCACGAAGAACUCCGAUUGCGAAGGCAGUUCACUGGACUGCAACUGACACUGAGGCUCGAAAGUGUGGGUAUCAAACAGGAUUAGAUACCCUGGUAGUCCACACAGUAAACGAUGAAUACUCGCUGUUUGC